UAAAUAAUAGAAAAUAAAUAAUAAAUCCAUGAGCAUAACAUCUCAACUCUUGUCAGUUACUCAGAUCCGAUCUUAUCUACAAACCAUCUACUCCCGUACAAGUUCGAUCAUCGUAGGUUGAAACUACAACUACAACAUUUUAGGGCGAGCAACCAAAUUUAUCAUAUCAACCAAUAUACAAUGAUCAUAUUAACUAAAAUAAUAGCCAAAUCCUAAACAUAUAUCAUCACAACAUUAAAAUCAUAACAUUAACCUCACAACAUUAACAUCACAACCCAAUAGUCUAUUCCCUCUACACUACCACACCACCUAAUCACCAUAACCAAUUCAUUACGAGGCACACGACAUCGUCCUCCCACAUCACACGGCCAACGAGAACCUCUUUUCGCAUCACAAGGCCAAAAGAGUUAUCACUGUCAAACCAUCAUCUUUCCGCAUCACACAGCCGAAGAGAAUGUCUUUCCCACAUCACACGGCCUAAAGAGUCAUCACUACCAAAUCAUCAUCUUCCUGCAUCACACGGCUGAAAGAGUCAUCACUACUAAAUCAUCAUCUUCCCGCAUCACACGUGAAAGAGAAUUUCUUUCCCGCAUCACACAACCGAAAGAAUCCUCACUACCAAAUCAUCACCUAAUAACUUCUAUCUCUCCUUCUCUUUUCAUCACCACUGAACUACUCAUUCACCCUACUCAUCUUUUAUUCUGAGUUUUCAAAACUCAUAACUCCCUCUUACUUCUAUCACACCAUGCAUCCAUAGAAUAACCCACACCUUUUGACACUCCAAACCACACCCAUCUUGGUCACCAAUAACAUCAUCAAAUGCACAUGCAACAAGAACAUACAAUUCAAAACCCUACACAUAUAUGAUCACUUCAUGCCAUGCAUUCAACCUUAACAGGUUAACAAAACCCUUUUAUACCCAAUUCUCCUCUAGACUGAAACAAACACCACUCAUGGUGCACAACCGAUCACAAAACAAAUAUGAAUGGUAAGAACAUCACCACCCCAAUUACACAUACAAUAAUUCUAGCUACUCCCCUUACCCUACAUGCACAAGAUAAUUCUAGUCACUCCCCUUAUCUAAUCUUGUACGAUUUUUGUUUCCAAUAUCACCAAAGAAAGCUUCACAAUGUCACCGAUGGUCCUCCCAUAUUUUAUAUUCUAUUUUCUCCUAGAAAGCGUCUUUUC
RNAcentral lists this long non-coding RNA (1188 nucleotides) under Vigna radiata. Its description in RNAcentral is "long non-coding RNA (VRAD_LNC009177)". Lineage: Eukaryota; Viridiplantae; Streptophyta; Magnoliopsida; Fabales; Fabaceae. The record is from RNAcentral.